Molecule: ribosomal RNA, 39 nt
Filed under: Leptogium sp.
Lineage: Eukaryota; Fungi; Ascomycota; Lecanoromycetes; Peltigerales; Collemataceae
Description: partial 28S ribosomal RNA
Source: RNAcentral
UUGGACCUCGGAUCGGGUAGGGAUACCCGCUGAACUUAA